AUCUGGCUGAAGAGUUCCAAAUGGGACAAAACUAGCGUCCUGGAU
RNAcentral lists this non-coding RNA (45 nucleotides) under Schistosoma haematobium. Lineage: Eukaryota; Metazoa; Platyhelminthes; Trematoda; Strigeidida; Schistosomatidae. The record is from RNAcentral.